This 234-nucleotide long non-coding RNA is filed under the name Capsicum annuum. RNAcentral describes it as "long non-coding RNA (CANN_LNC008239)". Lineage: Eukaryota; Viridiplantae; Streptophyta; Magnoliopsida; Solanales; Solanaceae. The record is from RNAcentral.
GGGUGGGAAAUGUCCCUAAAGUUCUCAGCUUAAAAGAUGAAAAUGAAACUCCCAGGAGGGUAUGACUCCCAUACCAAAUUGUACCCUGGGUUAUAAGUGGUACCCUAACUCAUACCCUAGGACUCACCAUGGACCCCUAAGCUAUCAAAGAUAUGACCUGACAUGCAUGACUGAUAUUCUAAGGUAUGAGUAGUACCCUACAACCCGUACCCAAGUUAGAAUGCUUUGGCCAAG